CCCCGCCGCCGAGGUUGGACCCACCGCAUCAACCCGCCCAGUGAGCACCCGACUCUCUUUUCCCCAGCGACCGACGACUUUUCGCUCUAGGAAGGGGCUUUGAGAGAUGAAGAGGAAGCCACUCUUGCUAUGUCCAAAGCAAUGGAAAACGGCAAGUACAAUAAUCAGGAGCCAAGUCCCAUUGAGUUUUUCAAAGAGACCCAUACUAACAGCAUGAGCGAGCCGACACAUCUAGCUUAUAAUGCAAUGGAAAAGAAAAGGGAAACACAAUCAGAAGUGACAACCAGUGUUUGUUUCAAUGAUUGUGGCUGAAGUUCUAAAGGAAGAAAAUGCCCAUA
Long non-coding RNA from Triticum dicoccoides, 338 nucleotides. RefSeq lists it as uncharacterized. The transcript is spliced from 4 exons. Lineage: Eukaryota; Viridiplantae; Streptophyta; Magnoliopsida; Poales; Poaceae. The record is from RefSeq and is a predicted model, not a curated record.